RNAcentral lists this unclassified non-coding RNA (300 nucleotides) under uncultured fungus. RNAcentral describes it as "sequence contains 5.8S rRNA gene, ITS2". The stretch from base 1 to 71 matches the Rfam family "5.8S ribosomal RNA", at positions 84 to 154 of the family's 154-position model. Lineage: Eukaryota; Fungi. The record is from RNAcentral.
GUGAAUCAUCGAAUCUUUGAACGCACAUUGCGCUUCCUGGUAUUCCGGGGAGCAUGCUCGUUUCAGAAUCAUUAAAAACUCACGCUCUUUGGUUUGCUCACACACUGUGACAGGCUAUUAGAUGCGUGGAUGUGAGCGUUUUUGGCUACAGUCAGCAUCGCUUUAAAAUGAUUAUGUACGCAACCCUUGCCUUUGGCGGGCUGCCAACAGUGCGACAAUGUUUUUAACAUGUUCAUUUUUGGCUGCUGCGGAAGGCUGGCGCGUGUAACUCUACUCCAACACAAAACGUAUGGCAUACGC